This 135-nucleotide non-coding RNA is filed under the name Clostridium sp. RNAcentral's name for it is "MoCo sequence". It matches the Rfam family "Molybdenum/Tungsten riboswitch aptamer (Moco RNA motif)". The record is from RNAcentral. Lineage: Bacteria; Bacillati; Bacillota; Clostridia; Eubacteriales; Clostridiaceae.
AUAAUUGGUAUUUUCUAGAGUAUAAAAAGCCUAAGUAUUUAUAUAUAUGGAUUUUAUACCUGAAUUUAAUUCACAGGGUAGUCUUUGAAAAGAGGCUGUCUCCACGUUUUGGGAAGGAAAAUAAGCUUAGGUAAU